CGAGCAGGUCGUGUCCAGCUCCUCCGGGUGCAGGGGGGACACGGUGCUCCUGCCUGCAGCUCGUGUCUUCACAAGCCGCGUGGUGUGACAGGCACAGAAGUGAACAUACUCGCAGCAUUUUUUAUUUACCGUCUCGUUUUUGCACCCGGGGGUGCUGCAGCUUUCAGCUUUUUAUCUGCUCGGGAGCGCUAAGAAGUGCUUUAUCCAGGAAAAUCGGUUCUUGGAAAGGAGCAAGUCCCAAAUGUUGAUGGUUGGUCUCCUCUGAGGCUGGGCAGUGCUCAGGGCCAAGGAGGGCUCUGCACUUGGGGGUAAUUGAAUCUCUGUGUCCUGGGGUUCUUCUGCUCUGCUUCCCCUGCCCAGACUGAAACCAGAAUGCUUUAAGGGAGGAAAACAAACAAAGCAAGCCUGUCAGAGACAAACCAUCUGGUGACCAUAAUUGCUAACAUAACAGGUAAAUGUUUGUGGUUUGUAGCCAGAGGGAUGGGUAAAGUCUCUCAAGCAGGAUGACUCAUUUUACCAACUGUUGUUAAACAGAUCAGUGUAGUUACUGUGCUGGUAACACACAGCAAGGUCAGUGUCAUUGUGCAGUGCACAGGGGGGCUGGGAAAGGAGCUUGAAGGUCACACAGCUGAAGGCAGACCUCUCUAUAGGAGGACACUUCUCUAGUUUUGCUGCAUUCUCACACUGUCAGUGGGUACAGAUGUCCAAAGAGCAUCGAUGAAAAGCAGAAUCAGCUCACCUGGGGUGGUUGGAAGCAGCUCUCCCUGGCAGGCAGGAUGACAAGGUCUUACUUUGGUGUGAUCCCAGGAGAGCCAAGCUUUUGACAUUUAAGCUGGAAAAAUGAGCUGCCUCAGUGCUGGUGCUGGCUUAGGAAGCAAGAUCCUCCUGCUUGGUGGUUCAGCAGGAGGUGUCAGGAGCCAUCCCUGAAACGUGAUGCAAAAGCUGAUGUGUCCGAGGAGCCAGUUCCUUGUGUGAGUGAGGGCAGCAUCCAUCAAGGCAGGAGAAAAUCAGGACUUUGAGGGAUCUUCCAGCAGGUCUCAGCUCCUAUAACAGGAAAGCCUGCUGAAUUAGGAAUUUCCUUCCCCAUGGGAGUUCAAGCUCUGUCAAACCCUUGAAUUGGUGCUUCCAAUGGUCCAUCUCUGUAAAGGUGGGUGCUUCUCUGAAGGGUUGGUUCAAACUGGUGGCAGAGUGAGAAGCCAGACUAGACCUGAUGGAAAUGCACUUUUCUAAAUGCCAUCCUUCACAUUCAGCAUAAAACUCUUGACAAGCUGUGUCCUUAGUGAUCACAAUGGGGUGAGCUCAGUAGGGUGGGCCACUGGUUUUGCCAGAUUCUGAAAUUGAUCAUUAUUUCCUAUUAAAUUGUACUUUUCCUCAUCCGUUUUACUUGCAUGCAUCGUUCUUCCUGUCCUGAGUGAUGGGGUGUGCUCUUCAGUAGCUGCUGCCCAUUGAACACCUCUGGGUAUUUAAUGCUCUCUUCUUACCUCCUAAUGGGACCUGUGUCCCUUUCCUUGAUGUUUUCAAAGCCUUUUGAAAAGUUUGGCUGGAGGGUGGGCUAGAUUUUUUUUCCUUCCUUUGAUCACUGAAAGCCUCACUUAAGAAAAAAGAAUAAAUCAAGUGACUGUGACUCACAGAGUCAUUGGGAGGUGUGCACAUGGCCACUAAUAUUUUUGGAUGCAGAAGAAAGGCCCUCAGCACUUUGCUGAGCAAACUGCUGAUAAAUGGCAGCUGUUCCUUUGUGAAGCCAAAUACUAACGUUGUGUUACUUGCAUCACUCAUUUUUUUUUGGAUCUGUGGCUUUUCAAGAGAGACCAAAACCAAAAUAGCAUUUGAAUUGUCAGCUUAGAGACUGAGCAACUUCCCUGAGACUUCAGGGUCGAUUUAUUGUGUGGGAAAUGUUGGUGUCCAGGUGGAUAAAAUGUAUGUUAUAUAAAUAAUGCAGCAGUGGUUCAUAUUCUCUCUGCUUUCUGCAAAGGAGCCUGAAGCGUUUUCUUGACCCAAAUCGUACGUGAAAACCGAAGAACUAACUCUUCUGCUGCUCUUGGAAGUGAAAAGAGCUGUAAAGAAGGUCCUAGCUUUGGGAAUACUGAUGUUUCUUCUCAGCUGAGGAGAGAAGAAAGCACUUGGAAAUGGAUUGAAUCUGUUGGACACUGAACUGUGAUGCUGGUGCACAGGAGAUUGGUUCAAGUGGGAAGUGGAGGUGCUCCUCUAAUAUGGAAAGGAGAGGGGCUCCUCUUACAUGGAAGGGGAGCUGCUCCUUUCCCCCCCCACCUCUGCAGCAGCCCAAUGACUGCAGAGUAAACACUGGCCUGACUGACCCCAACACUGCUCCCCCCACCCCCUGCUCCCAGUGUUGAAUCAAAAGGGUGGUGAGAAAAUCGACGACGCUGCUUCUGUUGCUCGUUUUUAUUUCUGUUCUUUUUAUUAUUCAACUGCUUUCCAUUAUAAAUAAAUAAGGCAUGAAGGUUCUCCAUACUGUUGCA
Apus apus (common swift) is the source of this 2480-nucleotide long non-coding RNA. RefSeq lists it as uncharacterized. The record is from RefSeq and is a predicted model, not a curated record. The transcript has 2 exons. Lineage: Eukaryota; Metazoa; Chordata; Aves; Apodiformes; Apodidae.